GGGCAAGUGGCGGAAUUGGUAUACGCGUUAGUCUUAGGAACUAAUGUCGCAAGACUUGGGGGUUCGAGUCCCCCCUUGCCCACCA
RNAcentral lists this transfer RNA (85 nucleotides) under Candidatus Nomurabacteria bacterium RIFCSPLOWO2_01_FULL_42_17. RNAcentral's name for it is "tRNA-Leu". It matches the Rfam family "tRNA". Rfam says of the family: Transfer RNA (tRNA) molecules are approximately 80 nucleotides in length. Their secondary structure includes four short double-helical elements and three loops (D, anti-codon, and T loops). Lineage: Bacteria; Candidatus Nomuraibacteriota. The record is from RNAcentral.